CCUACGGGGGGCAGCAGUGGGGAAUAUUGGACAAUGGGCGCAAGCCUGAUCCAGCAAUGCCGCGUGUGUGAAGAAGGCCUGCGGGUUGUAAAGCACUUUAAGCAGGAAAGAAGGGGUGGGAGUUAAUACCUUUCAUCAUUGACGUUACCUGCAGAAUAAGCACCGGCUAACUCCGUGCCAGCAGCCGCGGUAAUACGGAGGGUGCAAGCUGUAAUCGGAAUGACUGUACGUGGUGCGCGCAGUGGCGGGUGAAAUCCCCGGGCUUAACCUGGGAACUGCGAUGGAUACUGUCGGGCUAGAGUGUGGUAGAGGUGAGUGGAAUUUCCGGUGUAGCAGUGAAAUGCGUAGAGAUCGGAAGGAACACCAGUGGCGAAGGCGGCUCCCUGGACUAACACUGACGCUGAGGUGCGAAAGCGUGGGGAGCAAACAGGAUUAGAUACCCCAGUAGUC
This 450-nucleotide ribosomal RNA is filed under the name uncultured bacterium. RNAcentral describes it as "partial 16S ribosomal RNA". It matches the Rfam family "Bacterial small subunit ribosomal RNA", at positions 338 to 795 of the family's 1533-position model. The record is from RNAcentral.